CAUGCAGGAUUCAACAGGAGCUUGGCAUAAUAUUAAACAGCACAUUCUGAAGCUUGAAGCGCCUGUAAGAGGUAUUAACAAUCUCAUCUAACGCUAGCCAGCGUAAUGCAUCUGGAAUGAGCUCUUAUGGCGCGGUCUCUGGUUACUGAUGAAAAUACCAUACUAUAGCUAAUACUUUUUUGCACAAUGUUGCUAAUGGGCAUGGAGAAGCAGGCUAUACUGAGCUGCCUGCAUUAAACCUGGUUGGAUGGAGACUGAAUCAUUUGUCCAUUCAGAUUGUAAAACAUAGGUCAUUGUUACUAUCCCAUUACACAGUUGUUUGCAGAGUCUCGGAUAUAAGCGGCGUAAAACGCAGAUAGCAUGAAAAACUUAAACAUGUCUCUGUUUCAGCUCAAAGUACUCCACAGAUCGUUUAUUAUAGGAUUUUGAAAAUGUCUAUUUUAAGCGGAAGCAAUGACAUGCUGUUAUCGUGCAUGUCUCUUUAAAUGCAAAUUAGCUGCUGCGCCCCGCCCCCUUCUCCAGAAUAGGGCAGUUCCAUUACGGCUAGUUUUAUAGCUAUCAGUUUAAACUUCUGAUAAAAGGUUUUCUGAGGGCACACAAACCGGAUGUCACAUGGCUUAUGAGUAAAUUAAGUUCACUUUGAUUCAGGUUUAGGUCAUAAACAUGCAUAAGUUGCAAAAACACAGCUGAUUAUGUCUGUGAAGUUAAACGGCUGGAAAAUAAAUCACAUAUUUAUAUUAGAUCUGUGUAUUAAGUGAUUAAAGAGAUGCGGGCGGGUUUUGGAGUUAUAGGGUGGUUGUGUACACACGCUGCAAACACACAUUUAUGUUCAAAUCACAUCUAAAAGUGAAUUUUGCUCUUUAAAACCAUUAAUACUUAGCGUUUAAGCUAAACUGUAAUCCAUAACUUUUUUGUGUUCACAAAUUUACAACAUUAAUAAGCGAGUACACCGUGAAUCCAGUUUCCAAACCAUGAUUUUGGCCUGUCUUGAAUCACUACGUUAAUCCUAUAAUAAGUGUUUAUAUUCGGACUAUUUAGACUGGUUCGGGAAGGUACCGCUGCGGAGUAGCCCGGUACCUCCGUAAAAUCGUCGAUACGUAAACAUAGAAAAGUAGAUCCGGCUAAAACGUCCUUCCGCAACACGCGCGCGGUUCUGUGCUCCGGCUAAAUAGGCGUUUCCGUAAAAGUGCUUGAUGAAUCUUUGAACCAUUUGUGAAUCAUUUGCUUCGAACGGGGGAUUCUGAACACACGGCAAACUGCUAAAGGCGCGUGAUUUAAUAAACGAAGAUUCAGUCAGAACCGUUUUGAAAUGUUUGUCGCUAGGGGCUGCAAACAUGUUUAAAAGCGAUCGAUUCACUAAGUAGUUAGUUGAUGCAAUUGAUUCAAAGUUUCGGAAAGCCGUUAUUUUUCACCCGACUUCCUGUUACAAACGCCGUUGAGAAAAAGAUGGUGAAAAAGCUCCCUAUUUACAACAACGGUAACAUAUCAGGUAACUAGUUUUGGUGUUUUGAAUGUUUUCUAGGGGUAUAUGGUACACUUAUUCAUGCCGAAAUCAACAGAACAAAUAGUGUAAUAUUAACCACUGCACAUGCGGAACAAUUCAUUUCGGUUCAUAUCAGUGUGUGCACUAGGACUUACGUAGUGUUAAAUUUUAAUUUAUUUUUUUGCGUCUGGAGAACUGAACUACUACUUUAGCUAACUAGCUAAAUAGCCAACCUGAGCCCCCCCAACCCCAAAAAAACUAAAAUGACUAAAUGAUAAAAUGACCAAAGCGCACGGAGCAUUGCUAAAAUUACAAUUGAAAUGGAAACUGAGCAUGCAAAUAAAAGCUCGCUUAAAAUAUAGCACGUAAAUAAAUAUUCAUAAAGGCUGGCUGGCACCAGCAGGUUAAUACUAGCCUUAACACGUGCGCUAACAGUCAAAAUAUUACAUUAUGUUAUGCAUGCAUUUACAUCUUCUGCCAGAACCGGGGAAAACAAAGUAUUAGCGCGGCAGAGCCCGUGUGAGCACAAAAUGCAUUUUAAUGAACAUUCACCGAGGAGGCGCGUACUUUAUGCCAACGCCACUGAUGGAUGAGAAACUUCGCCAAAAUGCCAGGUGGAACAACCAGCGGGCUCUCCGAUCAAAGCGCGUGCAUAAUAGGCCGUUUCGAGUUCUGUGCAAACGCUCCGCGCGCUAGCGAAGCAGCGACACGCCAAGCAUUUACAUCUCAAUAAGAAAGCGGCUUCCUAUCGAAUAUGAAACGGUGUCGUCGCCGUAACCCAACCUCGUGCGCGCAAACAAUGCGCGCGGCUCCGAGCGCGGGAGGUCUGGCUUGCUCCGCUGUCACCCGAGUCUCUUCUGCAAGAGUAAUGCAGCUUCUAAUCAGCAUGCCUGCGAGCAGAGAGCUGUGGAAAUAAGGGCCCUUAAAUAGGUAAUAAAUCUUCCUGAUACAGGCCACGGGCAAGCCAGGAAGUGAAAUGUAUUCAUAUUUAUAAGCUCGCGGUGCCGUGGACGAGCUCAAGCCUUCAGUGCGUUUGGCUCUGCUGCUUUUAUUGACGGAACACACCUGACUGUCCUGCAAACAAUGCCUUGCGAUGCACACAGCCUCGUUUUUUGUUUUUUUUUGGGCGGCUUAGUCGUGCCAGGUUCAUUAGUGAUGCUUCCCCGACUGGUCUGAAUGAGAAAUUCACCCUCCAUAUAAUCUACCACCGAGAGCAAAUUCAAAAGGAUUACCUCGCCUGUUUUUCAUUACAAUGAUGAAUCGACUGGAAUGUUUACCUGAUACAAUCAUUUACAAUAAAACACCUUUUUUUUGGUGAUAGAGUAACUCUGAUCCAGAAGCUAAGAUGCUUUUCCCAGUCCGUGAUCAAUUGGGCACUGGAUUUGUUUUAUUAUAUUUUAUUACAGUUUAUGAUAAAACAUCUUAACUAAUCUGUCAUGGCCUGUAACCUUUCCUGAAAUAAAGCGGUGCUAGUUGUUUAGAUCAGGUCAAGUUGAUGGAACAAAGUCAUUUUGAGAACAUGUAUAUUAACUUUGAUUAUAGAUGUGGCUUGUGACAAUAUAUCUCAAAAUUUGAUCAUGACAACCAAGAGUAGUUUAUUCAUUAAAACAAAUUUGGGUAAAGUUAGCAUCGUAGGCUCACCACUGCAGUGAAUGGGUGCCGUCGGAAUGUCCAAACAGCUGAUGAAAACAUCACUCCGGUCCAACAAUUAACAGCUUGUGAAGUGGAAAGCUGUUUAUUCAUGAACAAUAAAUCUUUAAACUUCGCUUCUGGACAAAUCCAGAAUCCAGAAUGAGGCUUCCUCCAGUGAUAAAAGUUCUUUCCCUGUCGUCUUCUUAAAUCAAAAUCAUAUAUCACAAACAACCAUAUCGCAAGCAUACAAACAUAGUACAUCUUGAUGGAUUUUUUUGUUUUGUUUAGAAACACAUGCCUUUUGAUUUUACUAGACUUUAAUGGACUGAAGUGAAAUUAUUGUGAUGUUUUUAUCAGCUUUUUGGACUCUCAUUCCGACGGCACCCAUCCAACUUGACAUUAAAAUCGACAAUUGUGGUCAGAUGGAGUGGGCAUCCCAACAAAGCUUGAAAUGAAGCAAUUCACAUAUGUUUCAGGCCUUAUAAAGAUCAAUCACGUCUCUACAAACUCUUAAAAGUGCAACAUGAUUCUACGCCUUGUAAAAAAAAUAACUUUAAGUCUUGUUAUGGCUUGCUGUAGCUUGAGAGGUAGAAUAUCAGAUACGCUUGGGUUGCUGGUUGCGUCUGGGCUUUUUAAAGUUAACUUUAGCUUACUAAUAAAAAUGCAGAUGGUUCCACCUGCAAGAUUGUUGAAUAAAAUUAUGCAAAAGAUGAAUAUCAAAUUUGUCUUGAAUUGGACCUCGGGAGAUUUCAAAGCAAUCAAGGAACGAAAUGAGGCGAGGAAUUUUUAACAGCCAACAGCUGUAUAUUCAAUUGAUUUAGACGCCGAGAGACAAUGUUCGAAGUGGAAUACUAGCGCACUGCAUACUGUUCAAACUAUUCACAAAGUACGUGAAACUGAGUGCGUCGUAUUUAGGAGAUCUUCCGCUUGUUUUGCAACAAAAAAAUAGUUGAAACUCUAAAAUUGCCGCUAAAUUUAAGUUGAAGGAUUUUGCGGCCAAAAAUUAAAUUUAGCUAAAAAUGUAUUCAACCUCAUGCCGUCCAAAAUGUAGAUGAGUUUGUUUCUUCUUUGCAACGGGUUUCAUUAGAAUUAGAAUCCAAACAGUUGAUAAAAAUAUCACAAUAAUACCAAAGUAUUAAUUUAGCAUCAGUUUAAAAUGAAAAACGCCUCGAUGAUGGAUUUGUUUCUUACACAGUUACACAGUCUUACACUGUUUUACUUCAUAAGACAUUAAUUAAUGAACUGGAGUGCUGUUGAUUACUGUGACUAUUAUGAUGAUGUUUUUUACCAGCUGUUUGGACUCUCAUUCUGACGGCACCCAUUCACUGCAGAGGACCCAUUGGCGCGCAAAUGAUGUAAUGCAUUUCUCCAAAUCUGUUACAAUGAAGAACACACAUCUACUUCUUGGAUGGCCUGAGGUACAUCUGCUGUUAAACAUGAUUUUGAGUGGAUGUCUUCAGCAGCAGUAUAUAUCUCGAUUAACAACCUCACAGCUCACAGCAGCCCCCUGGCGACAUCCCAAGGCCGGAGGAGAAGCAAACCUGUGUGUUUACUGUACAGAGCGGCGAUUCUCUGUGACCGUGGUCUUCCUCUCUGCUGAAUCGGCCCUUUCUCCUCGCAUCACAGCCGUCCAUUCAUCGCUCUGUCGAGACA
Long non-coding RNA from Puntigrus tetrazona (Sumatra barb), 4768 nucleotides. RefSeq lists it as uncharacterized. NCBI's taxonomy places the organism in Eukaryota, Metazoa, Chordata, Actinopteri, Cypriniformes, Cyprinidae. The transcript is spliced from 3 exons. The record is from RefSeq and is a predicted model, not a curated record.